Long non-coding RNA from Myodes glareolus (Bank vole), 5166 nucleotides. RefSeq lists it as uncharacterized. The record is from RefSeq and is a predicted model, not a curated record. NCBI's taxonomy places the organism in Eukaryota, Metazoa, Chordata, Mammalia, Rodentia, Cricetidae.
CAGAGGUUGCACAGGGACCAUUUUGGCCACACAGCAGAGAGAGCACGGGAGCCUGCCUUCUCUAACUGGAGCUGGUAGGAGAAGAAGCGCCUCCUAGAGCUGAUGGGACAGCUGGUGAACCCUGCUUCAAGUGCGACCUGAGCCUGGGGAUCAGGGUGAGCUGAGUGUGGCAGACCGUUAACCGCCAUCAGGCUGAGCGGGAGUUGGAAAGUGUUGGAAUGCAACGGACAUGGGAACCCUUGGGUACCCUCAAUGGCGAUCAGGAGCAUUGGAUAGGACCCAGUGGCAAUGAACUGCAGGAAAAUCAAAGGAGUUUGAAGACCAAGUGUGCAGGAGGAAGGGAACAGACACUUGGGUUUUUAAUGAAAUUCAGAGACCUUGGAAGACUGUUUGGGUCAGAAUCCAAGAAUCUUAGGAGAGAGGACCCCAGUGACUACAGGGGACGAGUUCAGAUCCUUUCCGACUGCUUAAGUCAGUUUCUUCUUCUGAUGACUGGGACCGCACGCAGAUUCCCUCAGAAGCACUCAGAAUAUGUCUGUCUGCACAUGUGUGGUGCGACUAGAAAUCCUGGGCCAGGUACACGGUCCCUGGAGGACAGCAGCCAGGAUUCCUAUUGUGAGAAAUGGUUGCUGGCCUGGCUUACAGAUGCUGUUAGAGAGAAAAUGCCUCCAAGAGAACUCCUCUCAGCUUUCAGGUUCUCUCCCAGGGGUGAGAGAUGACCCCAGAAGAUGCCUGACCCCGAGUCCUGACUCUUACGGAAACGACAGGCUCAACCCCCAUUUCCUUUCCAGGAGGCCAUCUGUGAAAGAAGUUUCUGUUAUAGGUGCUGUGCCCAGAAUUCAAAUUCCCUCAGAGGACAUGAAGAUGCCCAUAGAGGGUUCUCAACCUAGAAAGCUCCUUUACUCAGAGACCCAACCCUGAGAGUAGAGAAAACUCUGUCUAGUUUUUGAUUCCCUCAAAGACAUGGAGUCACCCUCGGGGUAAAUCUGGUGGGCAAACAGAAUUGAGUGGCAGACCAAAGGGACAGGACACCCUUCUAGGGACAGGACACCCUUCUACGGAAAUGCUUUAAGCGAUUCUGGUGACCAGAGUGUAUGGUCAAAUAUGAUCACUGCUUCCCAGAGAGGAGGCCAUGUCACUGUACACAGAUGUUUUCACAGGACAGAUUUGUUACAGGAUGCCAGGCAAUAACCAGAUUACCUUACAUGGGGGUACAGAACCACUCAAAGCUUGUCUCAGCUGUCAUUACGUCUGGCCAUGAAGAAUCCUUACAUAUCUGGUAUGAAGAUCCUUCUGUUUCUGGUCAUGAAUAUUCCUUCUUUGUACAGUCAACCCAGGGUGUGAACUUCAUAGGAUGAUUUUAUGUGUUUGUAUCUAUAAGUACUUUCUGGAGUAAUGUCCAGAAGGCUCUGCUUCCUGGAGUCAUCAAUGAGGCCCACUGUUGACCACCCUUCUGUGGCCAGAAAAUGAAGGCAUGACCUCUCAGCGGGGAGCCUGAGAGAGGAUCCAAGGAAGGAAGGGCUUCCUGAGUGCCAGACCUCCUGCUAUGCAGCUACUGACCUCUGCUUGAAGACUUCUCUCCUCUUCCCAUCUCUGUGGUUCAUGCCAUAGUCACUCAGAGUGACCUAGCACCACGUGGUCUUACCACUCACGUAUGUAGGCAGUGUGGGCUUUGUUCCUGGAGUCCAGGGUAGCUGUAGUUAUCAAGGUCAUCAGCCUCCAAACACAAGCAGCUGUCCUUUCGUCCAGUGCAGAAGCGUAACCACUUCCUGUUUUCCUCCUCCAGAAGCCAGAGAACUUCAUGGUGGAUGCCCAACUUCCCAGGACCCCUUCAUCCCUGUGUGCUGAGUACACACCUACACAUGACUGGUCCAGACAGCAGACUCUGUAAUGAUGUUUGAAAAAACGGAAACUUGUUCAGAUAGUGACUGUUCUUGUGUGUCAAAACCCUGGGAGAACACUGGGCAUGGUCGUGGGUUCCCUCAGAAUGCAAGGCCCAGCUGUGUAUAUCACCAUGUGACACUGGGUGUGGCGGGUCAGUUCCUGAGAAGCAAGUACAGUCCAGGCCCUCAGGAUGCUCAACUUAGUUUCCAAAGUCCCUCAGAAAACACAUAAACUCCCCCAGCGCCCACAGUGAAUGCCAAUACUUGCAAAACCAUUACUCUGGGUAAUUCCAGAGGAGAUAUGUGUCAGGAUUCCUGUUAGGAACACCCAGGAAGCACUGCCUGCCAGCAUAGCCUAUUCCUCAGGGACCCCAGGCAUGGCCCGUGGAGUCAUUCCGCCAACACUCCUGACACAGAGUGAGGACUGCCAGAGGACAUCCCGCUCUGAUCGUCCCAGUGGUGGCACGGCUGUGGGCUUACCACAGAGGACACUCUGCCCUGCUUUUGGGUCCCCUCAGGAAUGCAUGCCCUCUUAGGGGAAGCCUGUCAGAAGAGCAAAAUCCCCUUCAAGGGACACUUGUCUCUAUUGCCACAAUGCCCAUCAUCAUCUGCCCAUGGCAGGAGCCCAAGGGCAUCUUGGUACAUCUCUUCCCUCCUGUGAGAGCAAAUUUUUAUACCAGGGUUCCAUAUCCCCUUAAAUGAAAACAGGGAUGUCUCUCCUAAUGAAAUUAUUUUGAACCUUAGUGUUAAUCAGAAUUUAAACAGUCACAUGUUAAAAUUAUCUUCAAUUGGAUAACGGAUUGAACUUUAUCCAGAGGGAUCUUAAAAAAGAUAUCAACACCUUUCUGAAGGAGAAGCCAUAUACUCUGAAUCAAUUUUUAUGACAUUCAAGAUGCAAUUUCUUUUAAGAUAUCAGAGAUAACCUCGCUGGUAGAAUCUUGAAUGGAAUAGAAGUGAAUAUACCAAGUUCAUAAUUGCUCAUCUGUGUAGAAUUGUCCAGUUACAAUUAGACAGAAGGUUCUUGGAAGAUGAACCAGGCAACACUGCUCUAUGGAGAGGGCAAGCAGGAAGUGUCUUGCUCUGCUGAGGGCUUACCAGGGGAGAUCUGAGUCAAAAGCUGGAGCUAGCUCCCAAAACUAAUAUUAUUUCCUGCAAUGACUUUUCUUUUUACAAAAAUUCUUUUGAAAAGGCACUUGAAGGAAACAGACGGUGUACUUGUCACAGAUUCAGGUGUUGUCACAUGUAUGUGUCAUGACUUCACAGAAGAAAGUCACACCUGACAUCACUUCCUCAUGGAGAUCAGAAUUUGACAGGGAUGGUACUCUAAAGUGUUUUCAGCCAGAGAACACCUGAGCUUCUAAACACGGGUGAUCCGUCCUGUGCGUGCCUCGUGGAGCUCUAGAGCUGUGUUCUAGCAGUGUGGAGUCUAUCACUAGUUCACGGCCCACAGACACCAAGGUCGAGUAUUGUCACCACUGCAGUCUUGAAUGUGGGUUCAACACAGUCUCUUCCUCACCAUUGGCAGAGUCUGUGCCACUGUGAAAAGAAAGGGAUUGUCCAUUGGAGGAGCUCAGUGUGAGCCUCCCUGGGAAUCACCAUUACACGCUGUUUGCAGCAGCAUCCACACAUCUGUCUUUCGCCGUUUUGGCCAGACCAUGAGAUUGACAGGGAAGAGAUUGCUGAUUCAGGGAAUUGACGGUAAACAUCCUGGGAUCCACCAAUUGGUUAUUUUAAGAUGAGAUGCUUCAGGUUUCGAAACAUUUCUAAACAGAUGGCUACAGACUACCUUUGUCGGAGUUGUGGAAGGGCUUCAGAGUUGUGUGAAAUGUUGCAGUUGUUGGCUAAUAGGAAUGUCAUAAGCUCCAUGUGUCCAUGAAAGCAGAUCAAUGAAUUGAAUUCUAUGGACAUGAACAGGACUUUGUAAUUAGAGAGCAGUCAACAUACAGUUACUCUUGUAAUUGAAAACAGGUAAAUGUAUGAUCUCUGUCUUCUAUACAAGUAUGUGAUUUCCUUCUGAGGAAAAGCAGCAUUUAUUCAGUUGCUGAAUUUCCCUCCCCAGACAGUCCAUAUCUUUGAAAUUUUUCACUGUUUAAAUUUCAGGCUCUGGAGAGAACAGACCCGGGUUCUAUAAAUGGGUGUCACUGAAAUAUUUUCAUGCCCAGCUUCCAUAGGGUCCUGUUCCCCAUCAGAAACCUGCUGAGAUGAUCAGUCACUACUGUCUGUGUCUGCUAGAACCUUGGCCUUCUGCAGACCCCGGAUUGACUGAUCAAGGUCUGCUCAGACCCGUCUAGAGCAUUUCUAGCCUCCAUCUCUAAAUGGUAUAUUUCUUUCCCAAGCAGGCUUUGUGGACUACGUGCUUGGUUUUCUCCCACCAAGUGUCCAUGCCUCAGUGCCAGUGUCCUCUUCCUCCAGUCACGUGUUACAGAAUCCCAAACAGGAUUACUGAAAGGGGAAUGGAUUAUUCUGGCUCACAGUUCUUGGGCACACUCUGCCAUGACAGCAGGACUGACGGGGAAGUUCACAGUUGUGCCAUGGGAUUCAAAGCUGCCUCAUAGCUACAGUGCUGCGAUAGAAUUGGCAACUGGUUAUAUCCCUCACACCUUUCCCCACUGCCUUCCCCCUCUAGCACCUCCUAAAGGCUCUAUAGCCUCCAAAGCAGAGCCAGGAUCAAAUAUUCAAAUCCAUAACCUGUGGUGAGAAUUUCGCACUCAAAGCAUGGCAGGUUUUAACGUCAGGAUUUAGAAAAGGACCCUGUGUUCCAGGUUGGGAAGAGUUCCUGACAUCCUUAUAACCGUGCUUCUCAGGAACGACAGAUGCCACACAUCUGACUAGGAAAGGAGGGGGAGGUAAGUGGAUGAGAAGCAUCCUGGAAAUGGCAGGCAAGAAUACUAAGGAGUGGAAGAAAGGACUCGCUUCCAUUGUGGAGAAGCCACAGCAGAGUCCUAGGGAUGCAAUCAUCACAUGAGCUCUGGUGAGCUGUCUACACCAGAAGUGAGAAUGUUUAAAAUGUCUGUAGAAUAGAUUCAUGGAAAGGCCCAUGAUUCAUUUCAAAGAUUGGGAUUACAGUGGGGAGGGCAUGUCCUGAUUUGAUCUCAUCAACCACCUUAGUAUAUGAAGGUGAGAAACCCUCACUAGUCACUUUUAUGCAUAUGCUAACUCUUUUGUUAAGAGUUAAAAUGUGUUUUAUACAUAUGUGCAUGUUGAUAUGUGUAUACAACAUGCCUGUGUCUUUAACACUCAAUAUUUGUGUUCAAAACAGUAUUAAAAAUUACUUGAAAUUUGA